AUAUUACUCAGCGGAGGAAAAGAAACUAACAAAGAUUGCCUCAGUAACUGAGAGUGAAGUGGCAAGAGCUCAACCUUAAAAUCGCUUGGCCCCGGUUAAGCGAAUUGUAAGCUCGAGUACCGGACUUAGGCUGUUCCGUAGCAUAAGUGUCUAGGAUUGGCUGCCAUAGAGGGUGAAAGCCCCGUUCAUGGCGACGGAACGACCGAGGGAAGGAAUCUCAGAGUCGGGUUGUUUUGUAAUGCAGCCCUAAAUGGGAGAUAAACAUCUUCUAAAGCUAAAUAUAAAUGGGAGACCGAUAGCGCACAAGUA
Molecule: ribosomal RNA, 309 nt
Filed under: uncultured eukaryote
Lineage: Eukaryota
Description: partial large subunit ribosomal RNA
Rfam family: Eukaryotic large subunit ribosomal RNA
Source: RNAcentral